Molecule: non-coding RNA, 97 nt
Organism: Kwoniella sp. CBS 9459
Lineage: Eukaryota; Fungi; Basidiomycota; Tremellomycetes; Tremellales; Cryptococcaceae
Source: the annotation of a GenBank genome assembly
GGCACUAUGGCCGAGUGGUUUUAAGGCGAUCGCUUGCUAUGAUUCAAUCAAGUAGCGGUUGGGAUUUCCCGCGUGAGUUCGAAUCUCACUGGUGUCG